GGGUUGUGAGGUUAAGCGACUAAGCGUACACGGUGGAUGCCCUGGCAGUCAGAGGCGAUGAAGGACGUGCUAAUCUGCGAUAAGCGCCGGUAAGGUGAUAUGAACCGUUAUAACCGGCGAUUUCCGAAUGGGGAAACCCAGUGUGACUCGUCACACUAUCAUUAACUGAAUCCAUAGGUUAAUGAGGCGAACCGGGGGAACUGAAACAUCUAAGUACCCCGAGGAAAAGAAAUCAACCGAGAUUCCCCCAGUAGCGGCGAGCGAACGGGGAGGAGCCCAGAGCCUGAAUCAGCAUGUGUGUUAGUGGAAGCGUCUGGAAAGGCGCGCGAUACAGGGUGACAGCCCCGUACACAAAAGCGCAUGUGCUGUGAGCUCGAUGAGUAGGGCGGGACACGUGGUAUCCUGUCUGAAUAUGGGGGGACCAUCCUCCAAGGCUAAAUACUCCUGACUGACCGAUAGUGAACCAGUACCGUGAGGGAAAGGCGAAAAGAACCCCGGCGAGGGGAGUGAAAAAGAACCUGAAACCGUGUACGUACAAGCAGUGGGAGCACCCUUUGGGGUGUGACUGCGUACCUUUUGUAUAAUGGGUCAGCGACUUAUAUUCUGUAGCAAGGUUAACCGUAUAGGGGAGCCGGAGGGAAACCGAGUCUUAACCGGGCGUUAAGUUGCAGGGUAUAGACCCGAAACCCGGUGAUCUAGCCAUGGGCAGGUUGAAGGUUGGGUAACACUAACUGGAGGACCGAACCGACUAAUGUUGAAAAAUUAGCGGAUGACCUGUGGCUGGGGGUGAAAGGCCAAUCAAACCGGGAGAUAGCUGGUUCUCCCCGAAAGCUAUUUAGGUAGCGCCUCGUGAAUUCAUCUCCGGGGGUAGAGCACUGUUUCGGCUAGGGGGCCAUCCCGGCUUACCAACCCGAUGCAAACUGCGAAUACCGGAGAAUGUUAUCACGGGAGACACACGGCGGGUGCUAACGUCCGUCGUGAAGAGGGAAACAACCCAGACCGCCAGCUAAGGUCCCAAAGUCAUGGUUAAGUGGGAAACGAUGUGGGAAGGCCCAGACAGCCAGGAUGUUGGCUUAGAAGCAGCCAUCAUUUAAAGAAAGCGUAAUAGCUCACUGGUCGAGUCGGCCUGCGCGGAAGAUGUAACGGGGCUAAACCAUGCACCGAAGCUGCGGCAGCGACACUCAGGUGUUGUUGGGUAGGGGAGCGUUCUGUAAGCCUG
RNAcentral lists this ribosomal RNA (1219 nucleotides) under Salmonella enterica subsp. enterica serovar Panama. RNAcentral's name for it is "partial 23S ribosomal RNA". It matches the Rfam family "Bacterial large subunit ribosomal RNA", at positions 1 to 1251 of the family's 2925-position model. Lineage: Bacteria; Pseudomonadati; Pseudomonadota; Gammaproteobacteria; Enterobacterales; Enterobacteriaceae. The record is from RNAcentral.